RNAcentral lists this microRNA precursor (57 nucleotides) under Caenorhabditis elegans. RNAcentral describes it as "microRNA cel-mir-4808 precursor". The record is from miRBase by way of RNAcentral. Lineage: Eukaryota; Metazoa; Nematoda; Chromadorea; Rhabditida; Rhabditidae.
GUAAGAUAGAUUAGUGCUUUCAAUUAUUUCAAACGAAAGCUCUAUUCUCUCUUACAG